GACGAACGCUGGCGGCGUGCCUAAUACAUGCAAGUCGAACGCUGAAGGAGGACCUUGCUCUUCUGGAUGAGUGGCGAACGGGUGAGUAACGCGUAGGUAACCUGCCUGGGAGUGGGGGAUAACUAUUGGAAACGAGAGCUAAUACCGCAUAAGAGUAGAUGUUGCAUGACAUUGGCUGAAAAGGUGCAAUGGCAGGACUACGAGAUGGGGCUGCGGUGUUUUAGGUAGGGGGUGGGGUAAAGUCUCACGAAGGCGAGGAUACAUAGCCGACCUGGGAGGGGGAUCGGCCCACCUGGGACUGGUACACGGCCCAGAUGCCUACGGGAGGCAGCAGUAGGGAAUCUUGGGGAAUGGAGGGAAGACUGACCGAGCAAGGCCGCGUGAGUGAAGAAGGUUUUCGGAUCGUAAAGCGCUGUUGUUAGGGAAGAACGAGGGUGAGAGUGGAAAGUUCACGUUGUGACGGGAACUUAGCAGAAAGGGACGGCUAACUACGUG
Molecule: ribosomal RNA, 495 nt
Filed under: uncultured bacterium
Lineage: Bacteria
Description: partial 16S ribosomal RNA
Rfam family: Bacterial small subunit ribosomal RNA
Source: RNAcentral